UGGGGAAUCUUCCGCAAUGGGCGAAAGCCUGACGGAGCAACGCCGCGUGAGUGAAGAAGGCCUUCGGUCGUAAAGCUCUGUUGUCGGGGACGAAUGUAGCGCUUAUCAACAACGAGUGCUAAUGACGGUACCUGACGAGGAAGCCACGGCUAACUACGUGCCAGCAGCCGCGGUAAUACGUAGGUGGCGAGCGUUGUCCGGAAUUAUUGGGCGUAAAGGGAGCGCAGGCGGGAGGCCAAGUCCAUCCUAAAAGUUCGGGGCUCAACCCCGUGAGGGGAUGGAAACUGGUCUUCUUGAGUGCAGGAGAGGAAAGCGGAAUUCCUAGUGUAG
This 330-nucleotide ribosomal RNA is filed under the name uncultured Mitsuokella sp. RNAcentral's name for it is "bacterial SSU rRNA". It matches the Rfam family "Bacterial small subunit ribosomal RNA", at positions 355 to 678 of the family's 1533-position model. Lineage: Bacteria; Bacillati; Bacillota; Negativicutes; Selenomonadales; Selenomonadaceae. The record is from RNAcentral.